Molecule: ribosomal RNA, 460 nt
Filed under: uncultured bacterium
Lineage: Bacteria
Description: partial 16S ribosomal RNA
Rfam family: Bacterial small subunit ribosomal RNA
Source: RNAcentral
CCUACGGGAGGCAGCAGUGAGGAAUAUUGGUCAAUGGGCGUAAGCCUGAACCAGCCAAGUCGCGUGAGGGAUGAAGGUUCUAUGGAUCGUAAACCUCUUUUAUAAGGGAAUAAAGUGCGGGACGUGUCCCGUUUUGUAUGUACCUUAUGAAUAAGGAUCGGCUAACUCCGUGCCAGCAGCCGCGGUAAUACGGAGGAUCCGAGCGUUAUCCGGAUUUAUUGGGUUUAAAGGGUGCGUAGGCGGCCUUUUAAGGCAGCGGUGAAAGUCUGUGGCUCAACCAUAGAAGUGCCGUUGAAACUGGGAGGCUUGAGUAUGUUUGAGGCAGGCGGAAUGCGUGGUGUAGCGGUGAAAUGCUUAGAUAUCACGCAGAACCCCGAUUGCGAAGGCAGCCUGCCAGGGCAUGACUGACGCUGAUGCACGAAAGCGUGGGUAUCAAACAGGAUUAGAUACCCGAGUAGUC